RNAcentral lists this long non-coding RNA (1099 nucleotides) under Homo sapiens (human). RNAcentral's name for it is "differentiation antagonizing non-protein coding RNA, transcript variant 3 (DANCR)". Lineage: Eukaryota; Metazoa; Chordata; Mammalia; Primates; Hominidae. The record is from RNAcentral.
GCCCUUGCCCAGAGUCUUCCCGGGAUUGGCUGCGGGCCUCGCGACCCUCCUGCUUCCCUCCCCGCCCCGCGCCGCCUCUCUGGUUUGUGCGCCCGUCGCAGGUCGCAGGCCUCUUUGUCAGCUGGAGUUGCGCGGGCUGACGCGCCACUAUGUAGCGGGUUUCGGGCGGGCCACGCGUGCGGGACAGGAACCCAACCCCAGCCGACCUUGAGCUCCAGGAGUUCGUCUCUUACGUCUGCGGAAGUGCAGCUGCCUCAGUUCUUAGCGCAGCUCUACAAGUUUCACGCUGUUUAAGUCAUGAACCUACAAAAGCCUGUGAAAAAAUCUUUGAAGAUGCUCAGCUUGUUUCAGUCUGAAAUUUCUCCAAGACCAAUGAACAAAACAGGAUCAUGCCCUGAAUACACACCCAAGCUGCAGGCUCCUGCUUAGCCCUAUUUUGGUUUGGCCUCCAUGAGAUCUUCAGCCACAAUAGCAGGAGAUAAAAAUCUUCCUAGAAGCUUUCAUCAGCUGCAAGUUUUCUUACAGAAUGAAACUUUUCUGCUAUUUUUCUCAUAGUUAAUUGGCUAUUUGAGAAAACCGAAUUUCUGGCUCUCAGCAUUUAAUUGGAUUCUGUGGGUGACUGGAUGACCGCUUUGCACAUCACCAUGGGUAUCAUCCUUACCUUCUUUAAACCUUUUGUGCCAGUCAAAAAUUCUUGCUCUUGAUAUGUCAUCACCGGAAACUACUUUUUUUUUUUGUUUCUCUUUUGUGACAGGGUCUUCCUCUGUCACCCAGGCUGGAUGGAGUAUAGUGGAACAAUCAUAGUUCACUGCGGCCUUGGUACCCUAGGCUCAAGCGAUCCUCCCACCUCAGCCUCCUGAGUAGGUGGGACCACAGGUGUGUACCACCAGACCUGGCUAAUUUUGUUAUUGUUGUUUUUUAUAGAGGUGGGGGGGUCUCCCUAUGUUGCCCAGGCCUGUCUUGAACUCACGGGCUCAAGUGAUCCUCCUGCCUCAGCCUCCCAAAGUUCUGGGAUUACAGGGGUGAGCCACUGGACCCAGCCAGAAACUACUUUUAACAGUUCUAAUUGCCACUUGUCUUGGCUGUAUAUUCAGAAAUA